UAAACGAUGUCAACUAGCCGUUGGGACUCUUGAAGUCUUAGUGGCGCAGCUAACGCACUAAGUUGACCGCCUGGGGAGUACGGCCGCAAGGUUAAAACUCAAAUGAAUUGACGGGGGCCCGCACAAGCGGUGGAGCAUGUGGUUUAAUUCGACGCAACGCGAAGAACCUUACCUGGCCUUGACAUGCAGAGAACUUUCCAGAGAUGGAUUGGUGCCUUCGGGAACUCUGACACAGGUGCUGCAUGGCCGUCGUCAGCUCGUGUCGUGAGAUGUUGGGUUAAGUCCCGUAACGAGCGCAACCCCUAUCCCUAGUUGCUAGCAGUUCGGCUGAGAACUCUAGGGAGACUGCCGGUGACAAACCGGAGGAAGGUGGGGAUGACGUCAGGUCAUCAUGGCCCUUACGGCCAGGGCUACACACGUGCUACAAUGGUGCGUACAGAGGGCUGCAAACCCGCGAGGGGGAGCUAAUCUCACAAAACGCAUCGUAGUCCGGAUCGGAGUCUGCAACUCGACUCCGUGAAGUCGGAAUCGCUAGUAAUCGCGAAUCAGAAUGUCGCGGUGAAUACGUUCCCGGGCCUUGUACACACCGCCCGUCACACCAUGGGAGUGGAUUGCACCAGAAGUGGUUAGUCUAACCUUCGGAAGGACGAU
RNAcentral lists this ribosomal RNA (651 nucleotides) under uncultured bacterium. RNAcentral describes it as "bacterial SSU rRNA". It matches the Rfam family "Bacterial small subunit ribosomal RNA", at positions 803 to 1454 of the family's 1533-position model. The record is from RNAcentral.